GCAGUGGUAGUUCAGUGGUAGAAUUCUCUUCUUACCUGUGGGAGACCUGGGUUCAAUUCCUGGCCGAUGCA
RNAcentral lists this transfer RNA (71 nucleotides) under Loxodonta africana (African savanna elephant). It matches the Rfam family "tRNA". Rfam says of the family: Transfer RNA (tRNA) molecules are approximately 80 nucleotides in length. Lineage: Eukaryota; Metazoa; Chordata; Mammalia; Proboscidea; Elephantidae. The record is from Rfam by way of RNAcentral.